RNAcentral lists this RNase P RNA (479 nucleotides) under Klebsiella pneumoniae. Its description in RNAcentral is "RNase P RNA component class A". The stretch from base 1 to 400 matches the Rfam family "Bacterial RNase P class A". From Rfam's summary of the family: Ribonuclease P (RNase P) is a ubiquitous endoribonuclease, found in archaea, bacteria and eukarya as well as chloroplasts and mitochondria. Its best characterised activity is the generation of mature 5'-ends of tRNAs by cleaving the 5'-leader elements of precursor-tRNAs. Lineage: Bacteria; Pseudomonadati; Pseudomonadota; Gammaproteobacteria; Enterobacterales; Enterobacteriaceae. The record is from RNAcentral.
GAAGCUGACCAGACAGUCGCCGCUUCGUCGUCGUCCUCCUUCGGGGGGAGACGGGCGGAGGGGAGGAAAGUCCGGGCUCCAUAGGGCAAGGUGCCAGGUAACGCCUGGGGGGUGUCACAGCCCACGACCAGUGCAACAGAGAGCAAACCGCCGAUGGCCCGCGCAAGCGGGAUCAGGUAAGGGUGAAAGGGUGCGGUAAGAGCGCACCGCGCGGCUGGUAACAGUCCGCGGCACGGUAAACUCCACCCGGAGCAAGGCCAAAUAGGGGUUCAUAAGGUACGGCCCGUACUGAACCCGGGUAGGCUGCUUGAGCCAGUGAGCGAUUGCUGGCCUAGAUGAAUGACUGUCCACGACAUUUCACCUUUUUAUGUCAAAACCCCGCUACGGCGGGGUUUUUGCUAUUCGAAUAGCGGAGAAAGGAUGAAUGACUGUCCACGACGCUAUACCAAAAGAAAGCGGAUUAGCGGUCAGUUUCACCU